RNAcentral lists this transfer RNA (51 nucleotides) under Rangifer tarandus groenlandicus. RNAcentral describes it as "partial tRNA-Phe". Lineage: Eukaryota; Metazoa; Chordata; Mammalia; Artiodactyla; Cervidae. The record is from RNAcentral.
UAAUGUAGCUUAAAUAACAAAGCAAGGCACUGAAAAUGCCUAGAUGAGUAU